This 70-nucleotide ribosomal RNA is filed under the name Rhizopus arrhizus. RNAcentral's name for it is "Rhizopus oryzae partial 28S ribosomal RNA". The record is from RNAcentral. Lineage: Eukaryota; Fungi; Mucoromycota; Mucoromycetes; Mucorales; Rhizopodaceae.
ACUUUCAAACUAUGAUCUGAAGUCAGGUGGGCAUUACCCGCUGAACUUAAGCAUAUCAAUAAGCGGAGGA